AAUCAACGCUGGCGGCGUGCCUCAGACAUGCAAGUCGAACGAUUAAAGCUCUCUUCGGAGAGUGCAUAAAGUGGCGCACGGGUGAGUAACACGUAAGUAAUCUACCUUCGAGUGGGGAAUAACGUCCGGAAACGGACGCUAAUACCGCAUAAUGCAGCGGCACCUAAUGGUGACAGUUGUUAAAGAAUUUAUUCGCUUGAAGAGGAGCUUGCGGCAGAUUAGCUAGUUGGUAAGGUAAUGGCUUACCAAGGCUUCGAUCUGUAACCGGUCUAAGAGGACGGUCGGUCACACUGACACUGAAUAACGGGUCAGACUCCUACGGGAGGCAGCAGUCGGGAAUUUUGGGCAAUGGGCGAAAGCCUGACCCAGCAACGCCGCGUGAAGGAUGAAGUAUUUCGGUAUGUAAACUUCGAAAGAAUGGGAAGAAUCAAUGACGGUACCAUUUAUAAGGUCCGGCUAACUACGUGCCAGCAGCCGCAGUAA
This 483-nucleotide ribosomal RNA is filed under the name uncultured bacterium. Its description in RNAcentral is "partial 16S ribosomal RNA". It matches the Rfam family "Bacterial small subunit ribosomal RNA", at positions 32 to 523 of the family's 1533-position model. The record is from RNAcentral.